UACGAAGGGGGCUAGCGUUGCUCGGAAUCACUGGGCGUAAAGGGUGCGUAGGCGGGUCUUUAAGUCAGGGGUGAAAUCCUGGAGCUCAACUCCAGAACUGCCUUUGAUACUGAGGAUCUUGAGUACGGGAGAGGUGAGUGGAACUGCGAGUGUAGAGGUGAAAUUCGUAGAUAUUCGCAAGAACACCAGUGGCGAAGGCGGCUCACUGGCCCGUUACUGACGCUGAGGCACGAAAGCGUGGGGAGCAACAGG
Molecule: ribosomal RNA, 252 nt
Filed under: uncultured bacterium
Lineage: Bacteria
Description: partial 16S ribosomal RNA
Rfam family: Bacterial small subunit ribosomal RNA
Source: RNAcentral